CGGGUAAAACCCCCUUCUCUUCUUUUUUUUCGAUUUAAAAACGAAUGGAUUUGAUGAGAUUGAAGAGAAAAGGAACGCUAGGGCUCCUUUGAAAUCCGCCAGAGUUAUUCAGUAAUGAAUUGCAAUUUCCUUUAUCAAUUUCUCCUCUCACUUGCUUCAAUGAGAGAGAAAGUAGAAAGAGAAGAACCCAUAAACCAAAAACCCAGAAGGGUUGCAGUCCAAUCUCUCUCACUCACUCUAUCUCUCCUCUGCUGACUUUCUCUGGAGAAGGUGAAGAAGCAGCACAGAGAAAUUAUGUAAAGUAGAGGGAGAUAGAGGGGAUUUAGUUUUUCAAGGGAUUUGCAUUUUCCACCAUAGAAAUCCACGGACAAACAUUGUCAUUAUAUAUUGUAUAAAAUUAUUUAAUGCAGCACGAACAUAGAGUUUGU
Molecule: long non-coding RNA, 428 nt
Filed under: Panax ginseng (ginseng)
Lineage: Eukaryota; Viridiplantae; Streptophyta; Magnoliopsida; Apiales; Araliaceae
Description: long non-coding RNA (PGIN_LNC015145)
Source: RNAcentral